ACAGCAGUCGCCACGGUAAGACAGAGGAUGCAAGCGUUAUCCGGAAUGAUUGGGCGUAAAGCGUCUGUAGGUGGCUUUUCAAGUCCGCCGUCAAAUCCCAGGGCUCAACCCCGGAACUGCAUCCGAUACUGCCAUGCUUGAGGGUUGGAGAGGUAGCUGGAAUUCUUGGUGUAGCAGUGAAAUGCGUGGAUAUCAAGAGGAACACUCGUGGCGAAGGCGAGCUACUGGACAACAUCUGACGCUGAGGCUCGAAGGCCAGGGUAGCGAAAGGGAUUAGAGACCCCCGUAGUCCCUGUCUCUUAUAC
This 305-nucleotide ribosomal RNA is filed under the name uncultured bacterium. RNAcentral describes it as "partial 16S ribosomal RNA". It matches the Rfam family "Bacterial small subunit ribosomal RNA", at positions 505 to 807 of the family's 1533-position model. The record is from RNAcentral.